RNAcentral lists this ribosomal RNA (779 nucleotides) under uncultured bacterium. RNAcentral describes it as "bacterial SSU rRNA". It matches the Rfam family "Bacterial small subunit ribosomal RNA", at positions 8 to 796 of the family's 1533-position model. The record is from RNAcentral.
AGAGUUUGAUCAUGGCUCAGGACGAACGCUGGCGGCGUGCUUAACACAUGCAAGUCGAACGGAAAGUGCCCAGCUUGCUGGGUGACUCGAGUGGCGAACGGGUGAGUAACACGUGGGUGAUCUGCCCUGCACUUUGGGAUAAGCCUGGGAAACUGGGUCUAAUACCGAAUACACCCUGCUGGUCGCAUGGCCUGGUGGGGGAAAGCUUUUGCGGUGUGGGAUGGGCCCGCGGCCUAUCAGCUUGUUGGUGGGGUGAUGGCCUACCAAGGCGACGACGGGUAGCCGGCCUGAGAGGGUGUCCGGCCACACUGGGACUGAGAUACGGCCCAGACUCCUACGGGAGGCAGCAGUGGGGAAUAUUGCACAAUGGGCGCAAGCCUGAUGCAGCGACGCCGCGUGAGGGAUGACGGCCUUCGGGUUGUAAACCUCUUUCAAUAGGGACGAAGCGUAAGUGACGGUACCUAUAGAAGAAGCACCGGCCAACUACGUGCCAGCAGCCGCGGUAAUACGUAGGGUGCGAGCGUUGUCCGGAAUUACUGGGCGUAAAGAGCUCGUAGGUGGUUUGUCGCGUUGUUCGUGAAAACUCACAACUCAAUUGUGGGCGUGCGGGCGAUACGGGCAGACUGGAGUACUGCAGGGGAGACUGGAAUUCCUGGUGUAGCGGUGGAAUGCGCAGAUAUCAGGAGGAACACCGGUGGCGAAGGCGGGUCUCUGGGCAGUAACUGACGCUGAGGAGCGAAAGCGUGGGGAGCGAACAGGAUUAGAUACCCUGGUAGUCC